UCCGUAGGUGAACCUGCGGAAGGAUCAUUAAAUAAUUUAGAUGGCCUUUGCUAGUUUUCUAGCGAAUGGUUCAUUCUUUUUUACUGUGAACUGUUUUAAUUUUUCAGCGUCUGAGGAAUGUCUUUUAGCCAUAGGGAUAGGCUACUAGAACGUUAACCGAGCUGAAAGUCAGGCUUAGGCCUGGUAUCCUAUUAAUUAUUUACCAAAAGAAUUCAGUAUUAUAAUUGUAACAUAAGCGUAAAAAACUUAUAAAACAACUUUUAACAACGGAUCUCUUGGUUCUCGCAUCGAUGAAGAACGUAGCAAAGUGCGAUAACUAGUGUGAAUUGCAUAUUCAGUGAAUCAUCGAGUCUUUGAACGCAACUUGCGCUCAAUGGUAUUCCAUUGAGCACGCCUGUUUCAGUAUCAAAAACACCCCACAUUCAUAAUUUUGUUGUGAAUGGAAAUGAGAGUUUCGGCUUUAUUGCUGAAUUCUUUAAAAUUAUUAGGCCUGAACUAUUGUUCUUUCUGCCUGAACAUUUUUUUAAUAUAAAGGAAUGCUCUAGUAAAAAGACUAUCUCUGGGGCCUCCCAAAUAAAUCAUUCUUAAAUUUGAUCUGAAAUCAGGCGGGAUUACCCGCUGAACUUAAGCAUAUCAAUAAGCGGAGAAUC
RNAcentral lists this ribosomal RNA (650 nucleotides) under Mucor hiemalis. RNAcentral describes it as "eukaryotic LSU rRNA". The stretch from base 256 to 408 matches the Rfam family "5.8S ribosomal RNA". The record is from RNAcentral. Lineage: Eukaryota; Fungi; Mucoromycota; Mucoromycetes; Mucorales; Mucoraceae. RNAcentral also lists the same sequence under 1 other name.